Raphanus sativus (radish) is the source of this 664-nucleotide long non-coding RNA. RefSeq lists it as uncharacterized. The transcript is spliced from 2 exons. Lineage: Eukaryota; Viridiplantae; Streptophyta; Magnoliopsida; Brassicales; Brassicaceae. The record is from RefSeq and is a predicted model, not a curated record.
ACCAGCAUAUGUUUUUGUUACUGAUUUGGGUUUACAUCUUAUAUUGCUAUUGGCCCAUUCUCAUGUUUUAUUGGUUUUUUAUAAAAUUAAUUAUGCAGCCCAACUAAGAGUUUUUCAUCGUCUUCUCACCUUCUUCUCUGCCCAUUUUCUCAGAAAACAAAAGCUUCAAUCGAUUCAAAGUAACGCAUCUACCUUCUACUAAUAAGCUAUUAAAUCCGAGAUUUUAAGUUAAUUAUCCCACUACUCGCACUUUAAAGCAUACAAUCGACCUUUUUGGCUUCCAAGCUAACCGACUAAAGUUGUGAGUAUAAAUAUCACAUCUUGCACCGAUGAACAGCAGGACGUUAGGAAAGGCAGUGAACUCAUGAGUUUUGACAUGCUACUCAUCGAUGAGCAGGUGGAACAAGAUCCACGAGAAGCUGAGGUCUUCAAAAGUACCAUUUGUGCAAAAGGAUUUUUUAAACCUUCACAUCUCUGUCAUGCUUCUGUUUGAGUUAACCUUAUUGUUCUUGAUAGGCCAUUCAUGUAAGCAUUUUGACUGGGUUAAGUAUCUGAAUGGAUUCAGGCCAUUUUUUUAUUUGGAAUUGAUCCUGCAGAGAUGGUGUCUGCGUAAUAUUUAUGUUCCUAUUGUAAACUGAAUUUGAUAUUUAUGGGUGUUUGUUCU